Molecule: ribosomal RNA, 410 nt
Filed under: uncultured microorganism
Description: bacterial SSU rRNA
Rfam family: Bacterial small subunit ribosomal RNA
Source: RNAcentral
CAGCCGCCGCGGUAAUACGUAGGGUGCGAGCGUUAAUCGGAUUUACUCGGCGUAAAGCGUGCGCAGGCGGCCCGUUAAGACAGGUGUGAAAUCCCUGGGCUCAACCUAGGAAUUGCGCUUGUGACUGGCAGGCUCGAGUACGGUAGAGGGGGGUGGAAUUCCUGGUGUAGCAGUGAAAUGCGUAGAGAUCAGGAGGAACACCGAUGGCGAAGGCAGCCCCCUGGGCCUGUACUGACGCUCAUGCACGAAAGCGUGGGGAGCAAACAGGAUUAGAUACCCUGGUAGUCCACGCCCUAAACGAUGGGUACUAGCCGUUUGGUGCGCGAUAGCGCUGAGUGGCGAAGCUAACGCGUGAAGUACCCCGCCUGGGGAGUACGGCCGCAAGGUUGAAACUUAAAGGAAUUGGCGGG